AGCGAACGCUGGCGGCAGGCUUAACACAUGCAAGUCGAGCGGGCGUAGCAAUACGUCAGCGGCAGACGGGUGAGUAACGCGUGGGAACAUACCUUUUGGUUCGGAACAACACAGGGAAACUUGUGCUAAUACCGGAUAAGCCCUUACGGGGAAAGAUUUAUCGCCGAAAGAUUGGCCCGCGUCUGAUUAGCUAGUUGGUGAGGUAACGGCUCACCAAGGCGACGAUCAGUAGCNGGUCUGAGAGGAUGAUCAGCCACAUUGGGACUGAGACACGGCCCAAACUCCUACGGGAGGCAGCAGUGGGAAUAUUGGACAAUGGCGCAAGCCUGAUCCAGCCAUGCCGCGUGAGUGAUGAAGGCCCUAGGGUUGUAAAGCUCUUUUGUGCGGGAAGAUAAUGACGGUACCGCAAGAAUAA
RNAcentral lists this ribosomal RNA (415 nucleotides) under uncultured bacterium. RNAcentral's name for it is "bacterial SSU rRNA". It matches the Rfam family "Bacterial small subunit ribosomal RNA", at positions 29 to 489 of the family's 1533-position model. The record is from RNAcentral.